CCUACGUGAGGCAGCAGUGAGGAAUAUUGGUCAAUGGCCGGAAGGCUGAACCAGCCAAGCCGCGUGAAGGACGAAGGUGCCAAGCAUUGUAAACUUCUUUUGUCAAGGGCCAAAAUCAGGCUCUAGAGCCUGACCGAGGGUACUUUAAGAAAAAGCAUCGGCUAACUCCGUGCCAGCAGCCGCGGUACUACGGAGGAUGCGAGCGUUAUCCGGAUUUCUUGGGUGUAAAGGGUGCGUAGGCGGCUUGUUAAGUCCGCGGUAAAAGCCCGGGGCUCAACCCCGGCGAGACGGUGAAACUGGCUGUCUGGAGAUGUCGAGAGGUAUGCGGAAUGCGCAGUGUAGCGGUGAAAUGCUUAGAUAUUGCGCAGAACUCCGAGUGCGAAGGCAGCAUACCGGCGGCGAUCUGACGCUGAGGCACGAAAGCGUGGGUAUCGAACAGGAUUAGAUACCCCUGUAGUC
Molecule: ribosomal RNA, 459 nt
Filed under: uncultured bacterium
Lineage: Bacteria
Description: partial 16S ribosomal RNA
Rfam family: Bacterial small subunit ribosomal RNA
Source: RNAcentral